RNAcentral lists this long non-coding RNA (1829 nucleotides) under Sus scrofa (pig). Its description in RNAcentral is "lncRNA (ENSSSCG00035001044.1)". Lineage: Eukaryota; Metazoa; Chordata; Mammalia; Artiodactyla; Suidae. The record is from RNAcentral.
UUUUUUUUUUUUUUUUUUUUUUUUUUUUUUGCUUUUUGCUUUUUAGGGCUGCACAUGUGGUAUAUGGAAAUUCCAAGGCUGGCGGCUACAGCUCCGAUUAGACCCCUAGCCUGGGAACCUCCAUAUGCUGCAGGAGCGGCCCUAGAAAAGGCAAAAAAAAAAAAAAAAAAAAAAGAGAAUCUCUAGUUUCACCAAUCUUCCUGCAAAUGGCAUUACUUUGUUCAUUUUUAUGGCUGAGUAGUAUUCCAUUGUGUAUAUAUACCACAUCUUCUUAAUCCAUUCAUCUGUUGGUAGACAUUUAGAUUGUUUCCAUAUCUUGGCUACUGCGAAUGGUGCUGCAGUGAACAUAGGAGUGCAUGUAACUUUUAGAAUGAAUGUUUUGUCUGGAUAUGUGCCAAGGAGUGGGAUUUCUGGAUCAUGUGGUCCUAUAUUUAGUUUUCUGAGGAACUUCUGUACUGUUUUCUAGAGUGGUUGUACCAAUUUGCAUUCCCACCCACAGUGAAGGAGGAUUCCCUUUUCUCCACACCCUCUCUAGUAUUUGUUAUUUGUUGAUUUGUUAAUGAUGUCCAUUCUUACAGGUGUGGGGUGGUACCUCACUGUGGUUUUGAAUUCUGUUUCUCUAAAAAUUAGUGAUGUUGAACAAAAAAAAUUUUUUUGUGCCUGCUGGCCAUACAUAUAUCUCCUUUGGAGAAAUGUCUAUUUAGGUCUUCUGCUCACUUUUUGAUUGGUUUCUCUUUUUUUUUUUCUGCUAAAAUAAUUUGUUCUAGUACAAUAUAUUUUAUUAUCAAUUAAUUUCUCAUCAAUUUUUGAUUCUAAGUUUUUUUAGAUAAAGACUUUUGUAUACUUCUUUGGGUAUGGAAAGCCUUUUCUCCAGAUUUCAUAUGAAUUAAAUAAAAUGUGAUUAUAUAUAAAAUUAUGUAGCAUAUUAAUUUGAGCAAAUUACUAAUAGAUAUUAUUGUACUCUUUCUCAAAUAUAUGUAAUUAGAUUAGUUAAAAUACAAUUUUAUAAAUAUGCUCAGCAAGUAGGAAGUAGAGGAAAGCUCUACAUUUUAUAUCAUUGUGCUAUUUGUUCUGUGCUAUAUUACGCAAAACACCUCUUUUGCCUUUUUCUUAGCGUAUUAUGAUGACAUGGUUUCUCUUUUGAUUUUAAGGCUUUCUGAACUUAUAAAAGCCAUUCACUGUGACUUCUUUUGGUGAAUGGCUCAUUGUAUUUUCCAAGUCCUGUUGUUUUACCAUCUUUGAAAACAAAUAAAAAUGACACUUCUAAACACUUCACUAAAACAAAUUAGAUUUAUUCUGAAGAGUUCAGCGAACAGCAUUUUGAAUGAGAUCCAUAAUGGGCUUUUUAAUUAAAUGAAUAUAGUCAUUUCGUAGAGGCAAUUAUCAUUAGUAGAGCAGUAUCGAGAUGACCGUUUCAUUCUAAUUGUGCUGUGUUGUUAUAUAAGGGGCCUCAUUUUAGGGUUGGUUUGAAUAGAUUUAUAUCUAAUAGUGUCUUGACACCUACUGCUCAUUUAAAAUGUAAAUAUUACUGCUUUCCCAAAGAUGAUAGCUUAAUAGUCUCAAUGAAAACAAAACAUUCUUGGAGUUCCUGUCAUGGCUUGGAGGUAAGGAACCCGACUAGUAUUCAUGAGGAUGAGGGUUUGAUUCCUUGCCUGGCUCAGUGGGUUAAGGAUCCUAUUGUGUGAACUGUAGUAUAGGCUGCAGAUACAGCUCAGAUCUGGCAUUGCUUGGCUGUGGUGUAGGCCAGCAGCUGUAACUCUGAUUCAAACCCCAGCCUGGGAACUUCUGUAUGCUGUGGGUGCAGGGCUAAAAAGAAAAAAAAAAAAAAA